Molecule: ribosomal RNA, 494 nt
Filed under: uncultured bacterium
Lineage: Bacteria
Description: partial 16S ribosomal RNA
Rfam family: Bacterial small subunit ribosomal RNA
Source: RNAcentral
GAUGAACGCUAGCGGCAGGCUUAACACAUGCAAGUCGAGGGGUAUAGUUCUUCGGAACUAGAGACCGGCGCACGGGUGCGUAACGCGUAUGCAAUCUACCUUUUACAGGGGAAUAGCCCAGAGAAAUUUGGAUUAAUGCCCCAUAGUAUAGUUUAUUCGCAUGAUUAGAUUAUUAAAGUUCCAACGGUAGAAGAUGAGCAUGCGUCCCAUUAGCUAGAUGGUAAGGUAACGGCUUACCAUGGCGACGAUGGGUAGGGGUCCUGAGAGGGAGAUCCCCCACACUGGUACUGAGACACGGACCAGACUCCUACGUGAGGCAGCAGUGAGGAAUAUUGGUCAAUGGACGCAAGUCUGAACCAGCCAUGCCGCGUGCAGGAUGACGGUCCUAUGGAUUGUAAACUGCUUUUGUACGAGAAGAAACACUGCUACGUGUAGCAGCUUGACGGUAUCGUAAGAAUAAGGAUCGGCUAACUCCGUGCCAGCCGCCGCAGUAA